GAACUUAAGAGUUUGAUCCUGGCUCAGAUUGAACGCUGGCGGCAUGCUUUACACAUGCAAGUCGAAC
Molecule: ribosomal RNA, 67 nt
Filed under: Thauera sp.
Lineage: Bacteria; Pseudomonadati; Pseudomonadota; Betaproteobacteria; Rhodocyclales; Zoogloeaceae
Also listed under: 1 other name
Description: partial 16S ribosomal RNA
Rfam family: Bacterial small subunit ribosomal RNA
Source: RNAcentral